GAUGAAGAACGUAGCGAAAUGCGAUAAGCAAUGUGAAUUGCAGAAUUCAGUGAAUCAUCGAAUCUUUGAACGCACCUUGCACUCCUUGGUAUUCCGAGGAGUACGCCUGUUCGAGUGUUAUGAAGCUCUCAAAACGCAAUUGGCUUAAAACCUGAUUGUUGUUUUGGAUUUGAACUUUGCCGUGUUAUAACGGCUGGUUUUAAAAGUAUUAGCUGGUACUAGAACGAAUUGGUUCUACUCAACGUGAUAAUUAUCUGAUCGUUGAGGACAUUCCUUUCACGAGGAAUGGCCAUAGUAAAUUCAAUGGACUGCUUCUAAUCUGGCUUUAAUUCUUUAUUGGAUUAACCACUUUUCAAAUCUGACCUCGAAUCAGGUGGGACUACCCGCUGAACUUAAGCAUAUCAAUAAGCGGAGGA
Molecule: unclassified non-coding RNA, 416 nt
Filed under: soil metagenome
Description: partial contains 5.8S ribosomal RNA, internal transcribed spacer 2, and large subunit ribosomal RNA
Rfam family: 5.8S ribosomal RNA (bases 1-120)
Source: RNAcentral